ACCCAGCUGACGAGUCUCAAGUUGGGCGAAACGCGCGUCUUGGAU
RNAcentral lists this non-coding RNA (45 nucleotides) under Schistosoma haematobium. The record is from RNAcentral. Lineage: Eukaryota; Metazoa; Platyhelminthes; Trematoda; Strigeidida; Schistosomatidae.